This 403-nucleotide ribosomal RNA is filed under the name uncultured bacterium. RNAcentral describes it as "partial 16S ribosomal RNA". It matches the Rfam family "Bacterial small subunit ribosomal RNA", at positions 28 to 526 of the family's 1533-position model. The record is from RNAcentral.
GACGAACGCUGGCGGCGUGCCUAAUACAUGCAAGUCGAACGCACGGGGGACGGUUGAGUAACACGUGGGUAACCUCCCAUCAGAGGGGAUAACACUUGGAAACAGGUGCUAAACCGAUACUGAUGUAUGGACUCGCGGUGCAUUAGCGACUUCGUGAGGUAACGGCUCACCAAGGCGACGAUGCAUAGCCGACCUGAGAGGGUGAUCGGCCACACUGGGACUGAGACACGGCCCAGACUCCUACGGGAGGCAGCAGUAGGGAAUAUUCGGCAAUGGACGAAAGUCUGACCGAGCAACGCCGCGUGAGUGAAGAAGGUUUUAGGAUCGUAAAACUCUGUUGUUAGAGAAGCGGUAUCUAACCAGAAAGCAACGGCUAACUACGUGCCAGCAGCCGCGGUAAUUC